AGCAGUAGGGAAUCUUCCACAAUGGACGAAAGUCUGAUGGAGCAACGCCGCGUGAACGAUGAAGGCUUUCGGGUCGUAAAGUUCUGUUGUAAGGGAAGAACAAGUGCCGCAGGCAAUGGCGGCACCUUGACGGUACCUUGCGAGAAAGCCACGGCUAACUACGUGCCAGCAGCCGCGGUAAUACGUAGGUGGCAAGCGUUGUCCGGAAUUAUUGGGCGUAAAGCGCGCGCAGGCGGCCUCUUAAGUCUGAUGUGAAAGCCCCCGGCUCAACCGGGGAGGGCCAUUGGAAACUGGGAGGCUUGAGUAUAGGAGAGAAGAGUGGAAUUCCACGUGUAGCGGUGAAAUGCGUAGAGAUGUGGAGGAACACCAGUGGCGAAGGCGACUCUUUGGCCUAUAACUGACGCUGAGGCGCGAAAGCGUGGGGAGCAAACAGGAUUAGAUACCCUGGUAGUCCACGCCGUAAACGAUGAGUGCUAGGUGUUGGAGGGUUUCCGCCCUUCAGUGCUGAAGCUAACGCAUUAAGCA
This 525-nucleotide ribosomal RNA is filed under the name Exiguobacterium sp. RNAcentral's name for it is "bacterial SSU rRNA". It matches the Rfam family "Bacterial small subunit ribosomal RNA", at positions 350 to 866 of the family's 1533-position model. The record is from RNAcentral. Lineage: Bacteria; Bacillati; Bacillota; Bacilli; Caryophanales.